RNAcentral lists this ribosomal RNA (647 nucleotides) under Staphylococcus aureus. RNAcentral's name for it is "partial 23S ribosomal RNA". It matches the Rfam family "Bacterial large subunit ribosomal RNA", at positions 1550 to 2196 of the family's 2925-position model. The record is from RNAcentral. Lineage: Bacteria; Bacillati; Bacillota; Bacilli; Caryophanales; Staphylococcaceae.
UUAAGGCUGAGCUGUGAUGGGGAGAAGACAUUGUGUCUUCGAGUCGUUGAUUUCACACUGCCGAGAAAAGCCUCUAGAUAGAAAAUAGGUGCCCGUACCGCAAACCGACACAGGUAGUCAAGAUGAGAAUUCUAAGGUGAGCGAGCGAACUCUCGUUAAGGAACUCGGCAAAAUGACCCCGUAACUUCGGGAGAAGGGGUGCUCUUUAGGGUUAACGCCCAGAAGAGCCGCAGUGAAUAGGCCCAAGCGACUGUUUAUCAAAAACACAGGUCUCUGCUAAACCGUAAGGUGAUGUAUAGGGGCUGACGCCUGCCCGGUGCUGGAAGGUUAAGAGGAGUGGUUAGCUUCUGCGAAGCUACGAAUCGAAGCCCCAGUAAACGGCGGCCGUAACUAUAACGGUCCUAAGGUAGCGAAAUUCCUUGUCGGGUAAGUUCCGACCCGCACGAAAGGCGUAACGAUUUGGGCACUGUCUCAACGAGAGACUCGGUGAAAUCAUAGUACCUGUGAAGAUGCAGGUUACCCGCGACAGGACGGAAAGACCCCGUGGAGCUUUACUGUAGCCUGAUAUUGAAAUUCGGCACAGCUUGUACAGGAUAGGUAGGAGCCUUUGAAACGUGAGCGCUAGCUUACGUGGAGGCGCUGGUGGG